RNAcentral lists this ribosomal RNA (685 nucleotides) under Streptomyces sp. PanSC10. RNAcentral describes it as "bacterial SSU rRNA". It matches the Rfam family "Bacterial small subunit ribosomal RNA", at positions 98 to 797 of the family's 1533-position model. The record is from RNAcentral. Lineage: Bacteria; Bacillati; Actinomycetota; Actinomycetes; Kitasatosporales; Streptomycetaceae. RNAcentral also lists the same sequence under 1 other name.
GCGAACGGGUGAGUAACACGUGGGCAAUCUGCCCUUCACUCUGGGACAAGCCCUGGAAACGGGGUCUAAUACCGGAUAUCACUCCUGCAGGCAUCUGCGGGGGUCGAAAGCUCCGGCGGUGAAGGAUGAGCCCGCGGCCUAUCAGCUUGUUGGUGAGGUAAUGGCUCACCAAGGCGACGACGGGUAGCCGGCCUGAGAGGGCGACCGGCCACACUGGGACUGAGACACGGCCCAGACUCCUACGGGAGGCAGCAGUGGGGAAUAUUGCACAAUGGGCGAAAGCCUGAUGCAGCGACGCCGCGUGAGGGAUGACGGCCUUCGGGUUGUAAACCUCUUUCAGCAGGGAAGAAGCGAAAGUGACGGUACCUGCAGAAGAAGCGCCGGCUAACUACGUGCCAGCAGCCGCGGUAAUACGUAGGGCGCAAGCGUUGUCCGGAAUUAUUGGGCGUAAAGAGCUCGUAGGCGGCUUGUCACGUCGGGUGUGAAAGCCCGGGGCUUAACCCCGGGUCUGCAUUCGAUACGGGCAGGCUAGAGUGUGGUAGGGGAGAUCGGAAUUCCUGGUGUAGCGGUGAAAUGCGCAGAUAUCAGGAGGAACACCGGUGGCGAAGGCGGAUCUCUGGGCCAUUACUGACGCUGAGGAGCGAAAGCGUGGGGAGCGAACAGGAUUAGAUACCCUGGUAGUCCA